AGAGUUUGAUCAUGGCUCAGGAUGAACGCUGGCGGCGUGCCUAAUACAUGCAAGUCGAACGAGAUGCUUUUGUAGCAAUACGAGAGUAUUCUAGUGGCGAACGGGUGAGUAACGCGUUGGUGACCUACCCCAAAGUGUGGGAUAACAGUCCGAAAGGAUUGCUAAUACCGCAUGUGGUCUUCGGAUUUAGAAACUGAUGACUAAAGGAGCAAUUCGCUUUGGGAGGGACCUGCGUCCCAUCAGCUAGUUGGUGAGGUAAUGGCUCACCAAGGCGACGACGGGUAGGGGACCUGAGAGGGUGGCCCCCCACAAUGGAACUGAAACACGGUCCAUACACCUACGGGUGGCAGCAGUAGGGAAUAUUGCUCAAUGGGCGAAAGCCUGAAGCAGCAACGCCGCGUGUGCGAUGAAGGCCUUCGGGUCGUAAAGCACUUUUCUGAGAGAUGAGAAAGGACAGUAUCUCAGGAACAAGUCUCGGCUAACUACGUGCCAGCAGCCGCGGUAAUAC
Molecule: ribosomal RNA, 508 nt
Filed under: uncultured bacterium
Lineage: Bacteria
Description: bacterial SSU rRNA
Rfam family: Bacterial small subunit ribosomal RNA
Source: RNAcentral